GGGCAGGUUGUCUAGUCAGGCAAGAUGGCGAUUUGAAACCUCGCAGAUCGAGGGUUCAAAUCCCUCCCUGUCCA
This 74-nucleotide transfer RNA is filed under the name Nitrosopumilaceae archaeon. Its description in RNAcentral is "tRNA-OTHER". It matches the Rfam family "tRNA". From Rfam's summary of the family: Transfer RNA (tRNA) molecules are approximately 80 nucleotides in length. Their secondary structure includes four short double-helical elements and three loops (D, anti-codon, and T loops). Further hydrogen bonds mediate the characteristic L-shaped molecular structure. tRNAs have two regions of fundamental functional importance: the anti-codon, which is responsible for specific mRNA codon recognition, and the 3' end, to which the tRNAs corresponding amino acid is attached (by aminoacyl-tRNA synthetases). tRNAs cope with the degeneracy of the genetic code in two manners: having more than one tRNA (with a specific anti-codon) for a particular amino acid; and 'wobble' base-pairing, i.e. permitting non-standard base-pairing at the 3rd anti-codon position. The record is from RNAcentral. Lineage: Archaea; Thermoproteati; Nitrososphaerota; Nitrososphaeria; Nitrosopumilales; Nitrosopumilaceae.